This 1120-nucleotide long non-coding RNA is filed under the name Neogobius melanostomus (round goby). RNAcentral describes it as "lncRNA (ENSNMLG00000020708.1)". Lineage: Eukaryota; Metazoa; Chordata; Actinopteri; Gobiiformes; Gobiidae. The record is from RNAcentral.
UGUCUAUUCUUUUUUACAGUCUAUGGUAAGGACGGUCGAAUUGGGCAAAUGCUGCUGAAGCUCUAGUUCACUAACUGCAUAGAGAUCUAACAGUUGACCCCAUGAAAGGUUAAGGAUUAGUUGCUAGUGUUAGUACUUAGAGGCUACAAUUUAGUGGUUUCGGAUGCAGCCACAGUGUCAUUGUAAUUAGGAGUGGAAUAUUCUCGUGUUAUUUGAAGUAAUGUGACGAGACAGGGGUCUUUAUUGAUUUUUAUUCAAAAAUGUUUUUUUAUGGACACCACCAAGCCCUCAAAACCAUGCUCAAACCCGCACACCAGUUCCUGAAUCAGGCACGUGGUACGGUGCUUCAGGAAGGUUCAAAUCGUCAUUGUGUACGUCACCAACACACGCUCCGAACCACGCGCCGCCUCUGCCUCCCCCUUAUUGCUCGACACACGCUUCGACACGAACGUAACAUCACUAGGUCACGGAAAUCGGGAAGCUCUAUCCCAGACCAUGGAGGUUGCGACUGCUCCAAGCGUCUGCUCCAGGGUCUGGACAGAGACUGUUCAGGAAGUGUCCAUGGGUAAGUGUUGGCUCAGGUCGAGACUAGGGCUGCACAAUAUUGCAAGUUAUUUGGAGAUAUUAAACAAGGUCUAUAUUAAAGGAAUAGGCCAUCGUUUUUACAUGCUAAGCUAUGUUCUUAGCUUAGACGAGUUCAUUUGUACCUGUCUGAGCUCCACGUGUGCCUUCAGUAACGUAAACACAGCACAGACAGCGUUAGCAUUUAGCCUCUCUCCUCUCCUCUAUAGCUCCAAACGAGGUGAAGAUAGAAGCUACCAAACUCUUCCACGUUUUCCCUAUUUAAAUAUGGUUACGUGAAGCGUUACACUACAAAGUAUAAUUACACAAAAUUAAACAGUGGAUUUUCUAAGCGGAUAAAAAGGGAACUAUAUUGUAAGGCGUAAUAAUACCAGGAGUAAUUCAUUCAUUCAUUCAUUUACUUAUUUAUUUCAGGCAGAAGGCAACAAAAGAAGACUAUACAGCAGGGGUCACGAAUUAAAUUUCACCAAGGUCCGAAAUGAAAAAAAAUGGUCAAGCAAAGGUCCGGAACAUACGGGGUUAAUUCACGGUUAUAUCA